GACGAACGCUGGCGGCGUGCCUAAUACAUGCAAGUAGAACGCUGAAGAGAGGAGCUUGCUCUUCUUGGAUGAGUUGCGAACGGGUGAGUAACGCGUAGGUAACCUGCCUUGUAGCGGGGGAUAACUAUUGGAAACGAUAGCUAAUACCGCAUAACAAUGGAUGACACAUGUCAUUUAUUUGAAAGGGGCAAUUGCUCCACUACAAGAUGGGCCUGCGUUGUAUUAGCUAGUAGGUGAGGUAACGGCUCACCUAGGCGACGAUACAUAGCCGACCUGAGAGGGUGAUCGGCCACACUGGGACUGAGACACGGCCCAGACUCCUACGGGAGGCAGCAGUAGGGAAUCUUCGGCAAUGGGGGCAACCCUGACCGAGCAACGCCGCGUGAGUGAAGAAGGUUUUCGGAUCGUAAAGCUCUGUUGUAAGUCAAGAACGAGUGUGAGAGUGGAAAGUUCACACUGUGACGGUAGCUUACCAGAAAGGGACGGCUAACUACGUGCCAGCAGCCGCGGUAAUACGUAGGUCCCGAGCGUUGUCCGGAUUUAUUGGGCGUAAAGCGAGCGCAGGCGGUUUGAUAAGUCUGAAGUUAAAGGCUGUGGCUCAACCAUAGUUCGCUUUGGAAACUGUCAAACUUGAGUGCAGAAGGGGAGAGUGGAAUUCCAUGUGUAGCGGUGAAAUGCGUAGAUAUAUGGAGGAACACCGGUGGCGAAAGCGGCUCUCUGGUCUGUAACUGACGCUGAGGCUCGAAAGCGUGGGGAGCGAACAGG
Molecule: ribosomal RNA, 765 nt
Filed under: uncultured Streptococcus sp.
Lineage: Bacteria; Bacillati; Bacillota; Bacilli; Lactobacillales; Streptococcaceae
Description: bacterial SSU rRNA
Rfam family: Bacterial small subunit ribosomal RNA
Source: RNAcentral